RNAcentral lists this ribosomal RNA (433 nucleotides) under uncultured bacterium. Its description in RNAcentral is "partial 16S ribosomal RNA". It matches the Rfam family "Bacterial small subunit ribosomal RNA", at positions 29 to 507 of the family's 1533-position model. The record is from RNAcentral.
AACGAACGCUGGCGGCAUGCCUAACACAUGCAAGUCGAACGAGACCUUCGGGUCUAGUGGCGCACGGGUGCGUAACGCGUGGGAACCUGCCCUUAGGUUCGGAAUAACUCCCCGAAAGGGGUGCUAAUACCGGAUAAUGUCUUCGGACCAAAAAUUUAUCGCCUUUGGAUGGGCCCGCGUUGGAUUAGCUAGUUGGUAGGGUAAAAGCCUACCAAGGCGACGAUCCAUAGCUGGUCUGAGAGGAUGAUCAGCCACACUGGGACUGAGACACGGCCCAGACUCCUACGGGAGGCAGCAGUGGGGAAUAUUGGACAAUGGGCGAAAGCCUGAUCCAGCAAUGCCGCGUGAGUGAUGAAGGCCUUAGGGUUGUAAAGCUCUUUUACCCGGGAUGAUAAUGACAGUACCGGGAGAAUAAGCUCCGGCUAACUCCGUG